AUCGAGUCUCUUUCUCUCUUUAUCUCAUCCAUUUUUCCUUUUUUUCCUAGAAUAAAAGAGUAAUCCAUUCAUUUUCUACUGACUUUUCUAUUUUUACUCUAAUUGUGCUCAUCACAAAUGGCUCCUCAUGGGAGCAAUUAUCGAUAUGCU
Molecule: non-coding RNA, 150 nt
Organism: Caenorhabditis elegans
Lineage: Eukaryota; Metazoa; Nematoda; Chromadorea; Rhabditida; Rhabditidae
Source: Ensembl